GAGUUUGAUCCUGGCUCAGGACGAACGCUGGCGGCGUGCUUAACACAUGCAAGUCGAGCGGAAAGGCCCUUCGGGGUACUCGAGCGGCGAACGGGUGAGUAACACGUGAGUAACCUGCCCUAGGCUUUGGGAUAACCCUCGGAAACGGGGGCUAAUACCGGAUAUGACUGCUGGUCGCAUGACUGGUGGUGGAAAGUUUUUCGGCCUGGGAUGACUCGCGGCCUAUCAGCUUGUUGGUGGGGUAAUGGCCUACCAAGGCGACGACGGGUAGCCGGCCUGAGAGGGCGACCGGCCACACUGGGACUGAGACACGGCCCAGACUCCUACGGGAGGCAGCAGUGGGGAAUAUUGCACAAUGGGCGGAAGCCUGAUGCAGCGACGCCGCGUGAGGGAUGACGGCCUCGGUUGUAACCGUACUUUCUAGCAGGACGAAGCGAGAGUGACGGUACCUGCAGAAGAAGACA
This 464-nucleotide ribosomal RNA is filed under the name uncultured bacterium. Its description in RNAcentral is "bacterial SSU rRNA". It matches the Rfam family "Bacterial small subunit ribosomal RNA", at positions 9 to 493 of the family's 1533-position model. The record is from RNAcentral.